GACGUAGGGUGCAAGCGUUGUCCGGAUUUAUUGGGCGUAAAGAGCUCGUAGGCGGCUUGUUGCGUCGACUGUGAAAACCCGCGGCUUAACUGCGGGACUGCAGUCGAUACGGGCAGGCUAGAGUUCGGUAGGGGAGACUGGAAUUCCUGGUGUAGCGGUGAAAUGCGUAGAGAUCGGGAGGAACACCAGUGGCGAAGGCGGCACCCUGGACCAGCACUGACACUGAGGCACGAAAGCGUGGGGAGCAAACAGG
Molecule: ribosomal RNA, 253 nt
Filed under: uncultured bacterium
Lineage: Bacteria
Description: partial 16S ribosomal RNA
Rfam family: Bacterial small subunit ribosomal RNA
Source: RNAcentral